RNAcentral lists this long non-coding RNA (309 nucleotides) under Gossypium barbadense (sea-island cotton). RNAcentral describes it as "long non-coding RNA (GBAR_LNC014659)". The record is from RNAcentral. Lineage: Eukaryota; Viridiplantae; Streptophyta; Magnoliopsida; Malvales; Malvaceae.
GUCUUAGGCCUGCAAACUCUGAAUUGGAUAAUACAAUAAUAAUAAUAAUAAAAUACACGUUUUAAAAUUAAAUAUUUGCACACACGAUCACAAUUUAUUUCCCUUCAUAACCCCAAUUUUUGCAUGGCCCUCUUAUAGCAUAUACAUAUAGCUACUAUGGUACAAAGGGAGGCAUAUACAUCAAAGUAUAUAUGACACAUGAAACAUAUUGGUAUAUCAAAUAUUCUGGACAGUUCAGUUGGAUAUGGAACAAUGGGAACUCUUGAUAGUACUUCAUAUACCUGCCAUGCAUUCCGGUGGGGUGACCGG